This 497-nucleotide ribosomal RNA is filed under the name uncultured bacterium. Its description in RNAcentral is "partial 16S ribosomal RNA". It matches the Rfam family "Bacterial small subunit ribosomal RNA", at positions 28 to 507 of the family's 1533-position model. The record is from RNAcentral.
GACGAACGCUGGCGGCGUGCCUAAUACAUGCAAGUUGUGCGCUGAAGGUUGGUACUUGUACCAACUGGAUGAGCAGCGAACGGGUGAGUAACGCGUGGGGAAUCUGCCUUUGAGCGGGGGACAACAUUUGGAAACGAAUGCUAAUACCGCAUAAAAACUUUAAACACAAGUUUUAAGUUUGAAAGAUGCAAUUGCAUCACUCAAAGAUGAUCCCGCGUUGUAUUAGCUAGUUGGUGAGGUAAAGGCUCACCAAGGCGAUGAUACAUAGCCGACCUGAGAGGGUGAUCGGCCACAUUGGGACUGAGACACGGCCCAAACUCCUACGGGAGGCAGCAGUAGGGAAUCUUCGGCAAUGGACGAAAGUCUGACCGAGCAACGCCGCGUGAGUGAAGAAGGUUUUCGGAUCGUAAAACUCUGUUGGUAGAGAGGAACGUUGGUGAGAGUGGAAAGCUCAUCAAGUGACGGUAACUACCCAGAAAGGGACGGCUAACUACGUG